RNAcentral lists this small nucleolar RNA (133 nucleotides) under Dasypus novemcinctus (nine-banded armadillo). RNAcentral's name for it is "Small nucleolar RNA SNORA31 (ENSDNOG00000029736.1)". The record is from RNAcentral. Lineage: Eukaryota; Metazoa; Chordata; Mammalia; Cingulata; Dasypodidae.
GGGCAUCUCUGACAGACCUGGAGCAGUUAAUGUCUGCUGCUAAGGUUUCCACUAUCAAUGCAAAGAAAAGAAGGCCCUCGUGCAUUCUGUCUGUCUGGUUGUGGCAACCGAGGUUGAACCAAGGGGGGAGAGA